Molecule: long non-coding RNA, 249 nt
Filed under: Lathyrus oleraceus (garden pea)
Lineage: Eukaryota; Viridiplantae; Streptophyta; Magnoliopsida; Fabales; Fabaceae
Description: Pisum sativum (pea) long non-coding RNA (PSAT_LNC041130)
Source: RNAcentral
UUAUUUUUAUGUGGUGUAGAAAGAAAAAAAAGAAAGGAAAGAGAUAAGAAGAAGUGGGUAAGAGAGGGUGAGAGAUAUCAGAAAGGAAAAAGGAAAAGAAAGAGAGAAGAAGAGAAAGAGAAAGUAAGAGGAAAAGAGAAAGAAAGAGGAAAAAAGAAAGAGGAAGAAGAGGAGAAGAAGAAAACUCAUGGGAGAAGAAGAAGAAGGAAGCCAUGGAAGCACCAUCAUCUCAUCUUCAUCAUCACCAAC